AAGAGGGAUAUAAACAACUAGUGCUGCUAAUACAAGUUACCGAGACUAACACUCACGGCCCUCUU
RNAcentral lists this transfer RNA (65 nucleotides) under Bipes tridactylus. Its description in RNAcentral is "tRNA-Ser". Lineage: Eukaryota; Metazoa; Chordata; Lepidosauria; Squamata; Bipedidae. The record is from RNAcentral.